GGACGAACGCUGGCGGCGUGCUUAACACAUGCAAGUCGAGCGAUGAAGUUCCUUCGGGAAAUGGAUUAGCGGCGGACGGGUGAGUAACACGUGGGUAACCUGCCUCAUAGAGGGGAAUAGCCUUUCGAAAGGAAGAUUAAUACCGCAUAAGAUUGUAAUGUCGCAUGACAUAGCAAUUAAAGGAGUAAUCCGCUAUGAGAUGGACCCGCGUCGCAUUAGCUAGUUGGUGAGGUAACGGCCCACCAAGGCGACGAUGCGUAGCCGACCUGAGAGGGUGACCGGCCACAUUGGGACUGAGACACGGCCCAGACUCCUACGGGAGGCAGCAGUGGGGAAUAUUGCACAAUGGGGGAAACCCUGAUGCAGCAACGCCGCGUGAGUGAUGAAGGUCUUCGGAUUGUAAAGCCCUGUCUUUAGGGACGAUAAUGACGGUACCUAAGGAGGAAGCCACGGCUAACUACGUGCCAGCCGCCGC
This 475-nucleotide ribosomal RNA is filed under the name uncultured bacterium. Its description in RNAcentral is "bacterial SSU rRNA". It matches the Rfam family "Bacterial small subunit ribosomal RNA", at positions 27 to 518 of the family's 1533-position model. The record is from RNAcentral.